GGGGAAUUUUCCGCAAUGGGCGAAAGCCUGACGGAGCAAGACCGCGUGAGGGAGGAAGGCCUUUGGGUUGUAAACCUCUUUUGUCAGGGAAGAACAAAAUGACGGUACCUGACGAAUCAGCCUCGGCUAACUCCGUGCCAGCAGCCGCGGUAAUACGGAGGAGGCAAGCGUUAUCCGGAAUUAUUGGGCGUAAAGCGUCAGUAGGUGGCCAAGUAAGUCUGCUGUCAAAGACCACAGCUUAACUGUGGAAAGGCAGUGGAAACUGCGGGGCUAGAGUGCGGUAGGGGUAGAGGGAAUUCCAGGUGUAGCGGUGAAAUGCGUAGAGAUCUGGAAGAACACCGGUGGCGAAAGCGCUCUACUGGGCCGUAACUGACACUGAGGGACGAAAGCUAGGGGAGCGAAAGGGAUUAGAUACCCC
Molecule: ribosomal RNA, 418 nt
Filed under: Hormoscilla spongeliae DYS02155
Lineage: Bacteria; Bacillati; Cyanobacteriota; Cyanophyceae; Gomontiellales; Gomontiellaceae
Description: bacterial SSU rRNA
Rfam family: Bacterial small subunit ribosomal RNA
Source: RNAcentral